CUAAAGAUCCAACUCACGUGCUCUCAGCACAAUCUGAUGCAAAAACCACAAUCUGGGUCCACCGUCAAUCUCGACGGCACCGGACAAUCCGGAACAGCCUAAACACUGCUGUAAAAAUAAGCUCGGUAUCUCAGCAUGAGCGUAAAUGUAUUCUAAACUAUCCUGAGUAUCCACCACUCUCAAACUGCGGCGAUACAAACAACUACGACUCCUAAGCUAAAUCUGAUAGUUUAAGCAUAUGAGAGGAUAGGAUCGCUGGUUUUCUUCUAAGUCAAAUUCAAGUCCAACAUGUAUCAUUUAUCUAUCUCACUAUAGCAUGCUCCAAAUUCAGAUUUCAUUUAACAAAUAAUCGAUGAAUUCGAGCUAUAAUAUGAUAAGCAAAGAUUGAAACUAUAUAUGUUGACUAUUCAUACACUUAGGAGGAAUGUCCGAUAAUUAA
This 439-nucleotide long non-coding RNA is filed under the name Ananas comosus (pineapple). Its description in RNAcentral is "long non-coding RNA (ACOM_LNC013819)". The record is from RNAcentral. Lineage: Eukaryota; Viridiplantae; Streptophyta; Magnoliopsida; Poales; Bromeliaceae.